CCAAAUGCCCUCAAAGCCUUGUGCACGCCUUCCGGAAGGAGUUUGUUACACGAGGUCUGAGAGGGAGAGGCGGCUUGUGUGAGCUGCUGGUGCGGUGGUCAGCGCGAUGCCCAAGGCCAAGGGCAAAACCCGGAGACAGAAGUUUGGUUACAGUGUCAACCGCAAGCGUCUGAACCGGAAUGCUCGACGGAAGGCAGCGCCGCGGAUCGAAUGCUCCCACAUCCGACAUGCCUGGGACCACGCUAAAUCGGUGCGGCAGAACCUCGCCGAGAUGGGGUUGGCUGUGGACCCCAACAGGGCGGUGCCCCUCCGUAAGAGAAAGGUGAAGGCCAUGGAGGUGGACAUAGAGGAGAAGCCUAAAGAGCUUGUACGGAAGCCCUAUGUGCUGAAUGACCUGGAGGCAGAAGCCAGCCUUCCAGAAAAGAAGGGAAAUACUCUGUCUCGGGACCUCAUUGACUAUGUACGCUACAUGGUGGAGAACCAUGGGGAGGACUAUAAGGCCAUGGCCCGUGAUGAGAAGAAUUACUACCAAGAUACCCCAAAACAGAUUCGGAGUAAGAUCAACGUCUAUAAACGCUUUUACCCAGCGGAGUGGCAAGACUUCCUCGAUUCUUUGCGGAAGAGUAAGAUGGAGGUCGAGUGACUGGUUUACAUCACAGCUGCCCCAGGCUGAGGUCUCCCCCGGACCAGUGAAGCUGGAGCCAGGGUGUAAGGCAAGGAGGUGCUGUGUGGCUCCAGAGGGGCUGGCCAGGUCCCAUGGAAUCAGAAGGUUACACACACACGUGUGCACACUCCCCGCUCUAGGGAAGGAACUGUUCUCAGAGGCUCCAAUUUAUAUUCGUCCGGGGGUUCACGGAAAAGCCAGAACCUAAUGUUUUCAGGUCAAACCCCGGGGCUGCCCCAGCGAAAACCGCUUCUACCGGGGCUGAGAGGCCAUCCCGCCUGCCAGCAAGUGCUACAUUCACUUGCUCUUCUGGGCACGGCCUCUGGCCUCACCCCGAUGGCUCUCUGCCCGCUUCCCGCACAGCAGUUCCUCUCACCUCUACAGAAGCUCGCCGGGAACGCUGGGCUGCUUGGAAGGGGCCUGCCUUGCCCAUGCUAGUCCCCCCGCUAGGCUGGGGGCUGGUGGGGCCCUAGCCUGAGGCCAGCUGUGGCUUGACUGGCAGAGGGUAAGGAGCUCAACUCCGGCCUGCCCUCUGAGUGACCUGCCUUCUCUGCUUUUCUUUGGAUUGCUUAUAUUGGCCUCGGUCUGAAGUGAAUCCGAGGCCCCGAACCUGGCUUCUGGGACUGGUGGACUGCUGAAUCCCACUCUGUUGUGUGCCAAGCAGUGGGCUACACAUGGCAUGGCCAUCCUUUGGGGCCAGGCUUGCCUGAUUCGGUGGCAUGAGGUGGUGUCCACCAUGUAGCAAGAUCACAAGCACAGGGUGUGGAGCGGGCCCUGGGCAUUUUCUUAUGUCCUCAUACUUGAUCCCCAACUAUCAGUCAUACAAAAACCUCAUUCCCAGGGUUUCUCAGAAUCUCCUAUCAGCUGUCUCUUGUCACUCGUUCUCGAAAAGGAGGGCUCGGUUUUUUCCAUAGAUAUUUCAUGUGAAAUCUUGUAUGGUGCAUAGUUUUAUCCUCAUGUUACAGGUAAGGAAACAGGCUACAGGGUGUCAAGGCGGGGUUUGAAGUCUGUCCAACAACUAAGCCUAGGCUUUCUGCUUGCUGUAUUCCCCUUUAAGGACCCUGAAGGCAGCCCAUCAGUCCCAUACCAUCAAGGCAGGCUGGGAG
RNA transcript from Nomascus leucogenys (northern white-cheeked gibbon), 1770 nucleotides. It is a transcript of the gene named NOP16 nucleolar protein, with no coding region annotated. NCBI's taxonomy places the organism in Eukaryota, Metazoa, Chordata, Mammalia, Primates, Hylobatidae. The record is from RefSeq and is a predicted model, not a curated record. The transcript is spliced from 6 exons.